RNAcentral lists this small RNA (4918 nucleotides) under Pongo abelii (Sumatran orangutan). Its description in RNAcentral is "retained intron". Lineage: Eukaryota; Metazoa; Chordata; Mammalia; Primates; Hominidae. The record is from RNAcentral.
CUGAGCUUGAUUUCUCUGCUGGGAUUUGAGAUGUGUGGGAUUUGUGAGGUGUUGGGUCCAGGCAGAGACUAUAUUGAGCUUUGGGUUUACAUCUUGGGAGAGGGCUAAGUGUUUCUAUUUGGGUUUUGGGGCUUGGUUGGGGUAGGAGAUCUGAGCUUGAUUUCUCUGUUGGAAUUUGAAGUUUAGGUAGCAGUCACCAUUAUGCUGAAAGCGGUGAUCCUGAUUGGAGGCCCUCAAAAGGGAACUCGCUUCAGACCUUUGUCUUUUGAGGUGCCCAAACCACUGUUUCCUGUGGCAGGAGUCCCUAUGAUCCAACACCAUAUUGAAGCCUGUGCCCAGGUAACCUCAGGGGCUCCCCUCUCUCACCUCACUUCCUGCUCAUCUUCAUGCUGUUUUCCCCUUUCCCAACCAUGAUCUCUUCCCACCAGGCAUAACUCCAAGGACCAUCAUUCACAGAUGACAAUGUGAAUGGCGCCCCCUCAAGUUAUGCUGUGCAGCUGCCCUGCUGUCUUCCCCUAAUCUAGUUUCUCAUCUGGCCUCUUCCUGCUCAGAUUUCACUCCUAUUUUUAAAGUGUGGAAUGUGAGAUCAGGCAAGGAUCUUGGAGACAAUGUAAAGCCGUAGCAUGGAGACUCUUAAUGAUAACCAAGCACAAAUUCAUAUCCUUGAUCACCCUGAUGCUCAUUUCUUUAUUGCUUUUCGUAUUGGGCCAGGCAAGGUUUUGGUUUGAAUUCAGUCUCUGCCUGCUGUGAGGCCUGCAACAAAUAACACACCCUCUCUGACACUCAGUUUCCUUAUGUGUAAAUGGGGGUGAUUAGACCUACCUUGUUGGGUGGUGAAGCUUAGAAAUGAUAUUUGUAAAAUGCCUAGUACAACACAGACCCUUGAUAAAUGAUACCCUUACCUCAUGCUGAUCUCAAGCUUAGGCUGACAGAUAAUAAAAAUGGGGGGUGGGAAUGGAUUAAUGCAGCUUGGUAGGCAAAGUCUUUCUUAGAGUGAGUCCCAGUUCAGGUUGGUGGGGGUAAUAAUAAUUGAUUGAAAGAUCAGGCCUGGCAUGGUAGCUCAUGUCUGUAAUCCCAACGCUUCUUGAGGCCAAGUCAGGAGGAUCACUUGAGGCCAGGAGUUCUAGCCUAGCUUUGGCAACAUGAAGAGACCCCUUCUCUACAAAAAGUUUAAAAAUUAGCUAGAUGUGAUGGGCUGGCUGUAGUCCUAGCUGUUCUAGAGGCUGAGGCAGGUGGUGACAUGGCUGUAGUCCUCAAUACUCGGGAGGCUGAGGUGGGAGGAUCACUUGAGCCCAGGAGGUGGAGGCUGCAGUGAGCCAAAAUCAUGCCACUGCACUCCAGCCUGGGCAACAGAGCGAGACCUUUUCUCACAAAAAUAAAACAAAAAAAGAUCAGGCCUCCAACUUCCUCCAAAUUCCUCAUUGUCCAGAGGAGAAAAUAGCCCAGAGUGGUGAGUGCCCUGGGGCUCCACAGCUGAGACUGAAACUGGUUUCUGGACUUUGGGCCAGUACCAAGGAUUUCCCCAACAUCCCCUCCUAUUAGAUAUUCUUCCUCCCAGCCUCUUCCCUUGUCCUCAGGUCCCUGGAAUGCAGGAGAUUCUGCUCAUUGGCUUCUACCAACCUGAUGAGCCCCUCACCCAGUUCCUAGAAGCUGCCCAGCAGGAGUUUAACCUUCCAGUCAGGUGUUUGUGCACACACUCGUAUAUGGUGGGGGGGGUGGGGAGGCCCUAGGCCUCUGAGUUCUUGGGAGUGGGUUGAGUCAGCAUUUGCCGGAGUUCAUCCUCACCUACUAGAAGGAUUCUUAUUUGGACAUCACUGAAUCCCUGAAUAUAUAGAGUUUCUCUGUGGGCCUUGGGCAGGAGUACUUCUGGGAGCAAGCGGUGGGGGUCAGGUGCCCUGGCUCAUGGUAUCUAUUUCCUAAGAUCCACUGAGCUGGCUCUCGGGUUCCUGGGGACAGGUACCUGCAGGAAUUUGCCCCCCUAGGCACAGGGGGUGGUCUCUACCAUUUUCGAGACCAGAUCCUGGCUGGGAGCCCCGAGGCAUUCUUCGUGCUCAAUGCUGAUGUCUGCUCCGACUUCCCCUUGAGUGCUAUGUUGGAAGCCCACCGACGCCAGCGUCACCCUUUCUUACUCCUUGGCACUACGGCUAACAGGACGCAAUCCCUCAACUACGGCUGCAUCGUUGAGAAUCCACAGACACACGAGGUAUUGCACUAUGUGGAGAAACCCAGCACAUUUAUCAGUGACAUCAUCAACUGCGGCAUCUACCUCUUUUCUCCUGAAGCCCUGAAGCCUCUUCGGGAUGUCUUCCAGCGUAAUCAGCAGGAUGGGCAAUUGUGAGGCAGGCCCCAUAGCCCUGUGACCCCAAGUACACCCAGUCACGGACCCCAACACAUACCAGUCUCUGCAGGCUCCGUCUCAACUUGCUCACCUUCCUCCUCCCCUUGCCAUCUCCAGCAGAGCCUCCUGAGUCCCUCCCCUUCUAACCUCAUUCUGUCCCUCUUCCUUAUCCAUCCCAGUUCCUCCUCUGUCACUGCCUGCCCACUCCCCUUCUGGUCCAUUUCUCCUAAGCCCUGAGUGUCCCAGAGAUGUCUUUCAGAACAGACGGCAACACACAGUUGGGCGCACACACGCUCGGGUGCAGACGUGUGCACGUGCACACACAGACAGACAUGCACACUCUCAGGCUGAGGCUCCCCUUGGAACAUAGCACCAGAGCCCUGCUCACCAGUCCCAGGGUCUUUCCUCCUAGGGCUAGAAGCUGUUCCCUUCUAGGGAUCCUUGCCUUACCCCCACAUCGCCCCAUCUAAGGCCUCCUCUGCUCAUAGCCAUUUCUCACUCCCACCCGUGUCUCUGCUUCCCUCUCCAUCUCUCCUGGCCUCUCUGUCUCUGUCUCUGCUGAGCUGGCAUCUCUACCAUCUCUCUCUCCCUCUCUUUCUGUGACUGUCUCUGCCCUCACCAGCUGCCUUGCUCUGGGGUGAGUCUGUCUGUGUUUCAUUCCAUCCAAUGAGGGGGAGGGUAACUUGGAGGGGGUGAAGGACUGAAUAGGGAUGAGAAUGUGAAAAUGGGGGGAACUCCUUCUGGAAAUGGGGCAGGGAUGGGAAGCAGGCCUCUGCCUGGGGCUCCCUUGUGAUAGCACCCACCCAAGCGGGGGCUGGGUGGGAGAGUUUCCUGGGAUGUGAGCAGCCCUUUGGAGAGGACUGGACCAGACCUGGAGAGAGGGGCUUAGAGAGGUGGUGGGAAUCCUCCCACUCCUGUCCCUGGGAGACUGUGUUAGCCCCACAGUUGGGGCUCAGCUGGGGGACUGAUGUCAGCAUUCUUCAUCUCUGCCAGGGAGGACUCACCAGGCUCGUGGCCAGGGGCAGGUACCAUCCGCCUAGAGCAGGAUGUGUUUUCAGCCCUGGCAGGGCGGGGCCAGAUAUACGUGCAUCUCACUGAUGGUAUCUGGAGCCAGAUCAAGUCCGCAGGGUAUGGAAAGCUGGGUCCCCUGGGGAUUGAAACUUUGGGGUGGUGGGCACAGGCCCUGCUGACCCCUGAGCCCCUGCCCCCCUUGUGGCCCCCAGUUCAGCCCUCUACGCCUCCCGCCUCUACCUGAGCCGAUACCAGGACACUCACCCAGAACGGCUGGCCAAGCACACUCCAGGGGGCCCAUGGAUCCGAGGUACCCAGCCUGCCCCAAUUCCUAACCUUUGGCUUCCACCCCAUUCCCUCUGCCCUCUGAACCAAGAUUCUUGACCUCGAGUCCAGAGUUAAAGCCUCAAUCCCUGCCCCUUCCUGAUCAAAUUCGGUUUGGGAUAUUUGCCCCCAGGGCCUCUCUUCUGCUUCUAGGGAAUGUGUACAUCCACCCGACCGCCAAGGUGGCCCCCUCGGCUGUGGUGAGUGCUGGUCCCAGCCCCAGGGAGGGAAGGGUGGUGGUCGGAUGGAUGGAAGGUGGCCACGCUGCCUGAGUUCUGGGUGCCGGUUUCUUCACUUUGUCACAGCCUAUUGUGUGUCCUCGAGCAGGUCACUUCUGCGUUAUCUGUUCUAGAAGGGAGUUGGGUUUGGGGAUCCUCCAAGUUCCUCCAGGGCUUAUGGUGUGUGCUUCUCUCCACAGCUGGGCCCCAACGUCUCCAUCGGGAAGGGGGUGACCGUGGGUGAGGGUGUGCGGCUCCGGGAGAGCAUUGUCCUCCAUGGAGCCACUUUGCAGGAGCACACGUGUGUUCUGCAUAGCAUCGUGGGCUGGGGGAGCACCGUGGGACGCUGGGCCCGCGUGGAGGGUACCCCCAAUGACCCCAACCCCAACGAUCCCCGAGCCCGCAUGGACAGUGAGAGCCUCUUCAAAGACGGGAAGCUGCUGCCUGCCAUCACCAUCCUGGGUAUGGCUUCCUGGGGGCCAGGGCGGGGGGAACCCCACAGCUGAUGGCCAGUGGCCCCGGGGAGCAUUCGUUCCUCUGUGUGCACGCGUGUUUCUUCUUUUAGCAAACAGUUACCAAGGGCCUGCUCUGUGCCAGGCCCUGUGUGAGUCACCAGGGGCAUGAGACCAGGGGCACAGAUGGGCAGGAGGGAUCCCUCCCUGCUGGCAGUGGCCCCCAGCCCCCUGCCCCUGUCUCCCGUCCCAUGACCUCCUCUGGUGCCCUCAUCCAUGCUGCAGGCUGCCGAGUCCGGAUCCCUGCCGAGGUGCUCAUCCUGAACUCGAUUGUUCUGCCACACAAGGAGCUGAGCCGAAGCUUCACCAACCAGAUCAUCCUCUGAGUGGGGCUGCCAGAAGGCCCCCAGCUCCUACCCACUCCCCUUGAGGCUGCCGCCUUCUUGGCCAGCCUCUGUCCAGAAAGGACCAGAAAGGACCAGGCAGGAUCGUCACACGCCAGGGAGCAAUGUGGGUGGCCUGGGGACUCCUGGGUUUUCUCCCUCCCAACUCCCUAAUAAACCCCGUGAACCUUG